This 485-nucleotide ribosomal RNA is filed under the name uncultured beta proteobacterium. RNAcentral describes it as "bacterial SSU rRNA". It matches the Rfam family "Bacterial small subunit ribosomal RNA", at positions 9 to 489 of the family's 1533-position model. Lineage: Bacteria; Pseudomonadati; Pseudomonadota; Betaproteobacteria. The record is from RNAcentral.
GAGUUUGAUCCUGGCUCAGAUUGAACGCUGGCGGCAUGCCUUACACAUGCAAGUCGAGCGGCAGCGCGGGGGCAACCCUGGCGGCGAGCGGCGAACGGGUGAGUAAUACAUCGGAACGUGUCCAGUAGUGGGGGAUAACCAGUCGAAAGAUUGGCUAAUACCGCAUACGAUCUACGGAUGAAAGCGGGGGACCGCAAGGCCUCGCGCUAUUGGAGCGGCCGAUGUCGGAUUAGCUUGUUGGCGGGGUAAAAGCCCACCAAGGCGACGAUCCGUAGCUGGUCUGAGAGGACGACCAGCCACACUGGAACUGAGACACGGUCCAGACUCCUACGGGAGGCAGCAGUGGGGAAUUUUGGACAAUGGGGGAAACCCUGAUCCAGCCAUGCCGCGUGAGUGAAGAAGGCCUUCGGGUUGUAAAGCUCUUUCGGCGGGGACGAAACGGUCCGUGACAACACCACGGACUAAUGACGGUACUCGCAGAAGAA